This 398-nucleotide ribosomal RNA is filed under the name uncultured bacterium. Its description in RNAcentral is "bacterial SSU rRNA". It matches the Rfam family "Bacterial small subunit ribosomal RNA", at positions 358 to 773 of the family's 1533-position model. The record is from RNAcentral.
GGAAUAUUGGACAAUGGGCGAAAGCCUGAUCCAGCAAUGCCGCGUGAGUGAUGAAGGCCUUAGGGUUGUAAAGCUCUUUUACCAGGGAUGAUAAUGACAGUACCUGGAGAAUAAGCUCCGGCUAACUCCGUUCCAGCAGCCGCGGUAAUACGGAGGGAGCUAGCGUUGUUCGGAAAUACUGGGCGUAAAGCGCGUGUAGGCGGCUUGGCAAGUCGGGUGUGAAAGCCCCGGGCUCAACCUGGGAAGUGCACUCGAAACUGCUUGGCUUGAGUACUGGAGAGGGAAGCGGAAUUCUCGGUGUAGAGGUGAAAUUCGUAGAUAUCGAGAGGAACACCGGUGGCGAAGGCGGCUUCCUGGACAGUUACUGACGCUGAGACGCGAAAGCGUGGGGAGCAAAC